UGCGCAGGCGGCCCGAUAAGUCAGGGGUGGAAUAUGACGGCUUAACCGUCAAACUGCCCCUGAAACUGUCAGGCUUGAGUUCGAGAGAGGUAGGUGGAAUUCCAGGUGUAGCGGUGAAAUGCGUAAAUAUCUGGAGGAACACCGGUGGCGAAGGCGGCCUACUGGCUCGAUACUGACGCUCAGGCACGAAAGCAUGGGGGGCGAACAGGAUUAGAUACCCUGGUAGUCC
Molecule: ribosomal RNA, 229 nt
Filed under: uncultured bacterium
Lineage: Bacteria
Description: partial 16S ribosomal RNA
Rfam family: Bacterial small subunit ribosomal RNA
Source: RNAcentral